Molecule: long non-coding RNA, 7988 nt
Filed under: Aquilegia coerulea
Lineage: Eukaryota; Viridiplantae; Streptophyta; Magnoliopsida; Ranunculales; Ranunculaceae
Description: long non-coding RNA (ACOE_LNC000648)
Source: RNAcentral
CUAAUCGAACGCUUUAGUGGACGGCUACCUGGUUAUAUUGGUUGUGGGAGCGAUAAGUUUUCUUUUACGCAUGUUGAGGAUGUGGUAUACGGACACAUUGCAGCUAUGCACAAAGGCAGAGCUGGUGAAAGAUACUUGCUAACGGGAGAAAAUGCAUCCUUUAAACAUUUGUUUGAUGCUGCUGCUGUUAUUACUAGAACAAGAAAACCUUGGUUUCACAUUCCACUAUGGGUGGUUGAGGCUUAUGGAUGGGUGUCGGUUUUCAUCUCUCGAAUUACAGGCAAACUUCCCCUUAUCAGUCCUCCGGUAUGCCCUAUAACUCCUGGCUCAAGAUUGUGCUAAUUGACUGUUGUUUUGUUAGUAAACCAUAAGUUACCUAAAAUUGUUAGAAAAUUAUUAUAAACCUCUGUAUACCAUCUAUAAGUUAAAGAAGAGCUUGUAGACUCUUAUAAAAUCGUCCUUGGAUUCUUACAGUUUGGAUAUAUAUGCUAACUUAUGUUCACACAAUACUCGGUUUUUAGUUAAGGAUCAUGAAGAAACUCAAGAAAGAACACAUGAGUUCAGUUUACUAUGUCUGGAAUUGUUCCUUUGUUUGUAGGACAUGCACAUGAUCCCAUGUUGUUGAUGUAUGUUGGAAUUGGAAAAACAAUUUAAUUUAUCUUAAGGGUAGAUUUGAUCUUCCAGUUUGUCCCCAUAUGAUAUCACAUUUAUGUUAAUGAUGAUGAUUAAUGUACUUAGAUCAUGGACACUUGUAUUGGAUCUAAAGCAUUUUCUGAGGGAAGCAAUUUAAUUUAUCUUAAGGGGCUAUGAGGUUUUUGAUUCGUGCCUCGCAGUAUAAACUUUUCUCUCGAUAAUCCCAGAAAGAAUUGACACCGAGAUUGUUAUUUUUCUGAUAUAUCAAUGAGAAAAGAUAAAAACAGACGUCGACUCUCUGUUCAGUUUUUGUAUGUCCAGAAAAUUCCUUUUUGACUUGCUUUGUUUUAAAUUGUUACUUGUAGUGAAUGUACCUGAUUCUUACCCACUUUUGUUGUGAUGUGUCGCAGACUGUGACUGUUCUGAGACACCAGUGGGCGUAUUCUUGUGAGAAAUCGAAGCAGGAGUUGGGAUAUAAAUUUAGAAGCUUGAGUGAAGGACUGGGUGAGGAACUUCCAUGGUUGAAGAGCUUAGGCUUGAUAAAAUAUUAAGAAGAUACACCUGUUUUUGUGUGCUGCAGUGGCUUUGCCAUCGCCAAAUUUCCAUGGGUACGUAAAGUGGUUCAACUUUGAUUGUUUCAGGGUUUGGGUUUUCUUUGUUUUCUCUGAAGAAGAAGCCCAGACUUUUUAACAUUAGUAAUAAGUUUUUUUUCUUAUUGUUUGAGGCUACAGCUAUUGGACAGUAACUUUCAAAUGAUUCCCACCCCUUACAUUCCAGACCCCUACAGAGUGACCCACUUGUGCAUCAUCAAUAAGGCAUCACCAUAGAUAAUUUAACCCACCCCUGUUAGAUUUUGUUGCCAGUGACAUGCUGCAUUGUUUUCUUGGUUAGUUUACCUCCUUUGCCAAAAGUUUAAUAUUCAAAACUCCCAGAUUACUGCUUUGACUGAGUAGACCUGCAUCUCACAAGCACAACUGAACCCAUCUAAGUGUUUAUCAUAUGCGAAGAAACAUGAUUUGAGCAAUAAUCUUUAUGUAACAUUGUAUCUCAUAGAACUUGAAUAGACACUGAAUUCUACAAAUCCUUUACAAGUUCUAAUUUUAUAUCAAACCUUUGGGAUACUUUGUUUGACAUUAAACUCAUAUUUUUUCUCUUGGUGCAGGUGGUGACAAUUGACAAUGGUGCUGCAGACAAUGAUGAAGAAUUUGAAGUUUCAGUAGUUUGAUGGAAAGAAGAGAGAUUGCCCACUCUUUGGGUAGUAGAAUCUUAAAGCUAAAUCCGGCUACCAACGGCAUUUCCAGUACUUGGAACUGUAAAAUCUUUCAUAGUUUCAUGUUCCAAGUAUUUCUAAUACUGUAUUUGUUGUACAAAGGCCUCAAAUAACAGAUGUUUUGUGAAUGCAUGUGUAACUGUCAGUCUCUCAGAGUUUGGAAAAUUUUAAAUGGCAACUGUAACCAGAAUAUUUGCGCACUGACUAGUGCAUUAAGUUUGGGUGCAUAGCCCUUGCCCCUUGGUUGUAAAAUAUUUUUGGAGCGCUUGCUAUCUUUCAAAAUCAGGCCUGAACAUACCACUUUUGCCUGUACAAUUGGGAAAAUUCAUUCUGAAGAAGUGAAGAGUGGUCUGUUCAAUCCUUGCAAAAUCACAUCACAGAUCUCUAUGCAAAAGACGUUGGAGGGUAUCAAUAUCAACAUCAAGAAUAUCUUGACUUUGGAAGUAAUGGGUCCCACCUACCUUUGUCUUCUCUUCUCCUUUGAAACUUAAAGAGUUAACUUCAUUCAGUCUCUGGUGUCUUGAAGAAUUUUGAAUGAAAGAGAGAAAUGGCAGACAAACCAAGUCGAGGUCUAGUGUUUUAUGGUGAUGGGUUGAUUGAAUUCGUGUCUGCAUCACAUAUACCCAUCUUCAUCAGUUCGCAUCUCGAGGAACCUGUGGCUUCUUGUCACUCCCUCCCUCAUUCUCCUCUUGCAGGUUACUCUUCUUUCUCACCCCUCCAUUUCUUCUUGUAAUAGAAACACAACAAUGUUUCAUCACUUCUAUGUUUUAGGAAUGUUGGGAUUCUUUUAGUUGAUGGCUUUAGUUUAUCAGAAAACCUUACCAAACAAACAACUGAACAACUUCUGAAUUCAAUUGGGUUAAGGUUAGAGGUUACUACUAUUCAUUAAAAAAGAAGAAUAUACUUUGCUAAUGGAUUUUCUUCCCGUGUAAUUGUUGCAUAAUGAUUUUUUUUUUUCUUCUUAAUUUUGCUUUUAUAUGUACAUCAAAUAUCCCUAUAGCUUAUAUUUUAUUUCUAGUAUUUAUUUGAACUUAAUAAUAUUGCAGAGAGUGAGGAUGAGAGAGUCGUUAUUGUGAGAUUCAUUACUACUGGACGCAUAUGACUCUUAUAUACUAACUGUGAGAUUCAUCUUACUGGAAAUUUUAUAAAGAUACAAUUAUUUUGACAUACGCGUUAGUUUGUUAUUGUGAGAUAUAUAUCUUAAAUAAAAAUAUUAAUAUGCUUCCUUUCAGAUUAGAAAACAUUCUUCUACAUCAGAUUGUCUUGAAAUGUCUUCAGUACCAACCAUAUCACUAUAUCAGAGAGAUAUCAUGACUUUAGACUACUUUAUUUAAGAUGAAUUCUAGCUGUACCUUUGUUAAUCCCUACUUUAAUAUGUACCUUAUUAUUUAAUAUGCUGUUGAGCCAAGUGAUCACUUUUUCCUGCCCAGCUUGAAUGAGACUCAUGAGGGCAGAGAAGUAGGGUCGGCCGCAUAAGAAUGGAAAGAAGGAUUGAUCCAUUUCCACAGCCCCUUAGCUAUAAAUGCACAUGGGAUAAUAGGUCAAAUCAUCUUGGACGUCUGUGUUCCAAAGAACAUUGAAGGUUGGGAUAGAGUAAAAUAAGUAAUGUCUUAAGAUUGCCCCUAUGACUUCUUUUGGCAUGAACUGUACAGGUAAUUAUUAUGCAAAUGUUCUAACUCAAUAUGAACUGGUGUCAUAACAUACGUAUAUGAAUAAGAGUUUCUCAUGACUGUAUCAAUUUGUAGAUGCUCACUCUAUGUACAAACUUGGACUGAUAUAUUUUUGUAACAAAUUUGGUACUCGUUGUGGUUAAUAUAAUGCAUAUGCAUUUCAUUUUUUUUUUAAAUAAACAGUGUAUAUUAAAGUUGAUUAAACCAAUGAAGUUUUGUACGCAACAAAGAGUUUCAAAAAUGUAGCGCUAGCUAGCUCUAAAAAUUCAACCUCACUUUCUCACGAUAGUAGUUAUGUUGAGUUUCCAGACUACCAACAUCUGGCUGUUGGGUCAAGUCUUAGAUGAGUAUUCUAGUUGAGAAGAACAGAAGAAGAACAAGUUUUGACAAGUUUAACAGAAAACUCAACUCUGUCUAUCCAUUAACUAGAAUUUUUAAGUUAGUCAAUAACCAGAUUUGGAUUGUUACCAGAAUACUAAAGUCUUAACUAAAAUUUUUAAGUCAGUCAACGACCAGAUUUGGACUGUUACCAGAAUACUGAAGUCUUAUGAAAAUUCUAAUCUUUGGAAGUAGAUGCAUUUUAAUUAUAAACCCUUGCACCAAGUACCCAAUUGACACUUGUCCUCUAAAAUUCUCUAUAUGUAUUCAGAUGUCUUCUCUGGCUUUUUUCUCGCAGCUGAAAACAAGAUCCACUGAAAUCAGACUUCUUCUACAGCUUGAACAAUGAAGGUAUUAGUCACCGGAGCUUCUGGUUACUUAGGAGGUAAAAUCUGUCACGCUUUACUAGCCCAAGGUCACACCGUACGAGCACUUGUAAGACGAACAAGUAACCUUGACUCACUACUUUCGGUCAUCAACAAAGCAGAAGAAGGAUCACUCGAUCUUGCUUAUGGAGAUAUUACUGAUUACAAAUCCCUUCUCUUUGCUUUCUCCGAUUGCCAAAUUAUCUUCCACGUGGCAGCUCUUGUUGAACCUUGGCUUCCUGAUCCUUCUAAAUUCAUUUCUGUAUGAAAGAAAUUUCUCUAAUUAAACCCUAAUUCCCCUAAUUAAUCCAUUUUUGGUAUUGAAAUUUAAAUUCAAAUUCCUACUGCAGGUAAAUGUUGAUGGACUUAAGAAUGUGUUGAAAGCAGUUAAAGAAACUAAAUCAGUUGAGAAGAUUAUCUACACAUCUUCUUUCUUUGCUCUUGGCUGCACUGAUGGUGGUUAUAUUGCAAAUGAAACACAAGUAUGUUUUGACUUAUUAAUUGGACAAUAGUUUUGAUUUGGGCGACUCGUAGUGUUUAUGUCUGUUUUUGGUGUAGGUACAUCAUGACAAGUACUUUUGCACGGAAUAUGAGAAGUCAAAAGCGAUUGCAGAUAAGAUUGCAAUGCAAGCGGCAUUGGAUGGAUUGCCGAUUGUUGUUGUUUACCCUGGUGUGAUUUAUGGUCCUGGGAAGGUUACGGCUGGAAAUGUGAUGGCUAAAAUGGUUAGAUUUCUUAGUGUUAAUUUAUCGUCUCUAAUUGUAAUGUCAAACUUGUUUUAUGCAUUGAUAUUCUGUCAUGAACAUAGAAGUAUAGAACAUGGAUCAGCUCAUCAGCUGAAUUAGGUUGGUGGGUGGUCUUCAUUUUAAAAUUUCUUCUUUUUCACAUGCACCACGUCAGAAGAAAAGUCAACACCUUUCAUUAGUACAAUAAUUAUGCUAUCUUAGUGACUAAAUAUAACUGGAUUAGAUAAUGCGAGUUGAAGAUAAGUACGGAAAAGAAGACAGGAGAGUUAUAUGAGAUUUAGUCAUGUAUGAAGAUGUGACCUAGAAGUAGAAUAUAUAUUAAAUGUACAACUGUAUAAGUACUAAGAAACAUUUGAAGUUGUAUGUGAUGCAUAUGCAUAAAGAUAGCAUGUGCAAGGCACAUGCCUCAUAGUUCCUGCAGAUUCCUAUAUGGAUUAGAACAUCCUUAGUAGUAGUUUCUAUUUACUUAGCUUUUUAGUGUAGUUAGGAUUAGGUUUAGGUUAUUAUAAAUAGGGGAUUGCAAACCCUAUUAAGUAGGUUUAGAUUGAAGAUUUGUUUAUGUCUUGAGACAUUAAAUUCGUUUUUGUGAAGAACCCUAGUUGGGUGUUCAAACCAUUUAUUUAAUUGGUGUUCUUAUUAUUGUGCUUCCGGCGAUAGUAUUACAUCAAAAUUGGUAUCAAGAGCUUGGUUUUUCUGGGUUUAGAAGAUAAAAACCUGAUUUUUAUUACAAGAGUCGCGUUCAUGUUGGUAAUUUGAAGAUGGGUUAUCGUAGAAGAGGUCAAAGAGAAUUUCCGUCUCCGCCGGAUCGCUGGAGUUUACAUGAAUCGAAGCGUUAUACCGAUUCUGAAUAUAAAGCUCCCAACUUUGAUCCUAGUCGCCGCUUUCCUCUUUCUAGAAGGUAUGAACCUCCCUCUUCCUCUCGUUCCCCUUCUCCCCCACGCAGGCAACGUCAUAGUUAUUAUGACAAUGGAUAUUAUUCCCACCACCAGCAGGACACGCACCCUCCUCGAUGUGGUUUUCAGCAACAAUAUGUUGCUUAUGGUGCUAAAUAUUCCCAUGGAAACCGUCCAAAGACUUAUGAUCACGAUGGUCUUCGUAGUCGCAAUUCUAAGGUUACUCCGUAUGGAGAAUACCCAUACUAUAUUGAAUCUGAAAUCGAUUCAAAGAGCGAUGCCUCCAUGACGUCACCAAGCAUACAAAAAGAUUUGAAGGAACUUUUAAAUUGCUUUACUAAAUUAAAAAGUCAAUUUGCGUCUUUUAAGGAAGAAUUUGUUGAAGAAGAGAAACGACUUGACAAAGAAGCGGAGAUUAAUUUCUUACUCAACAUGUUUGAAGAAGAAAAAUACGUCACUCGUACUCGAAUUGGUGGUUUACAAAGUUACAAUCUUGUUGAUUUUUUUUCCGUUUUUGGUGAUGAUACAUCUAGUUUUGUGUCUCUUGAGUUAGAAGUUGCAUGUGUGGAUCAAGUAGAAGAUUUGAUUGAAAAAUCUGCAAGGGAGAUAAAUAAGAAGUUCUAUUUGUUGCCCCAAGGAAACCUGGUUGUUGUCCAUGACAAUGGUAAAAAGGAUGAACGUUCUCGGAAUUUCGCUCAUCACUCCCAUGAAUCGAUGAAUUCCAUUGAUUCUGACCGACAAAUUGAUGAUUUUUAUCAUCCCUACAAAUUCCGUCCCAUAAAAGUAAUUGGUAAUUUGUUUGGUGGUUAUGUUGAUCCUUAUCUAUUCCAAGAUGAGAAUGGAUUUUCUCCAUGGAGGGACAAACACCUUCAAUUCUUAUUUCUUGACAUGCGGCUAUAUUGCUCCAAUCAAUUGGGUUGUCCUAAUGAUGCACCUAUGACAUUAAUGUCCAUCAUUCUUUCUGCGAGCAACUAUCUGGGGAAGAUUCAUGGUCGGAUUUUCUGCACCAACGUAAGGUUGAGGUUGAUGUACAAGAGUCGUUUUGAACUUUGGAGGAUGUUAAUACACAAACUCGAGGACGAUUUUUUUUCAAGUUGGGGGGAUUUGAUACAUAUGCAUAAAGAUAGCAUGUGCAAGGCACAUGCCUCAUAGUUCCUGCAGAUUCCUAUAUGGAUUAGAACAUCCCUGGUAGUAGUUUCUAUUUACUUAGCUUUCUAGUGUAGUUAGGAUUAGGUUUAGGUUAUUAUAAAUAGGGGAUUGCAAACCCUAUUAAGUAGGUUAGAUUGAAGAUUUGUUUAUGUCUUGAGACAUUAAAUUCGUUUUUGUGAAGAACCCUAGUUUUUGGGUGUUCAAACCAUUUAUUUAAUUGGUGUUCUUAUUAUUGUUUGCUUCCGCCGAUAGUAUUACAUCAGUAUGCCAUGAAUCAUAAUGUGACCAACUCACCAUAGAGAGACUUGAAUAGCAAAUUUAAGUUUAUGCCGUUAAAUGUGGCCCCAAAAGUUGGUGCAAGGAACCAACUCAACUGCUUGAAUAAGUACUGGAAGAGACUGAGAAAUAAUUAUUAAUAUAUUUUCAACUGCCAGUCUUGUUGGGGCUUGCAGAUUUUUGCAUUAAUAAGUAAAAUCUCAGAAAAAUUGCAUAAUCCAGUUUCAUUCCCCAUGAUGUGUUGUUUAAGAAGCUCUUGCAUUUCGCAUUGGCUUACAUUUUUAAUGCUGAUUUCUAAUGAUGAACAUUUUUUAUUUGUCACCUCAGCUAAUUGAACGCUUUAGUGGUCGGCUACCUGGUUAUAUUGGCAAUGGGAACGAUAAGUUCUCUUUCACGCAUGUUGAGGAUGUGGUAUGUGGACACAUUGCAGCUAUGCACAAAGGCAGAGCUGGUGAAAGAUACUUGUUAACGGGAGAAAAUGCAUCCUUUAAACAUUUGUUUGAUGCUGCCGCUGUUAUUACUAGAACAAGGAAACCUUGGUUUCACAUUCCACUAUGGGUGGUUGAGGCUUAUGGAUGGGUGUCGGUUUUCAUCUCUCGAAUUACAGGCA